UACGUAGGCAGCAAGCGUUGUUCGGAAUUACUGGGCGUAAAGAGCGUGUAGGCGGCCAAACAGGUCCGUUGUGAAAACUGGAGGCUUAACCUCCAGACGUCGACGGAAACCGUGUGGCUAGAGUCCGGAAGAGGAGAGUGGAAUUCCUGGUGUAGCGGUGAAAUGCGCAGAUAUCAGGAAGAACACCAAUGGCGAAGGCAGCUCUCUGGGACGGUACUGACGCUGAGACGCGAAAGCGUGGGGAGCGAACAGG
This 253-nucleotide ribosomal RNA is filed under the name uncultured bacterium. RNAcentral's name for it is "partial 16S ribosomal RNA". It matches the Rfam family "Bacterial small subunit ribosomal RNA", at positions 524 to 776 of the family's 1533-position model. The record is from RNAcentral.